Molecule: ribosomal RNA, 370 nt
Filed under: uncultured eukaryote
Lineage: Eukaryota
Description: partial 18S ribosomal RNA
Rfam family: Eukaryotic small subunit ribosomal RNA
Source: RNAcentral
CAAUAGCGUAUAUUAAAGUUGUUGCAGUUAAAAAGCUCGUAGUUGGAUUUCUGGUCGGAAGCUCCUGUCCUCUGAUGAGCGUACAAGUGCGUCCUACCAUCCUUCUGUUAACCUUUAAGGCUUUCGCGGCUUUCUAGGGGCUCAGAUAUUUUACCUUGAGAAAAUUAGAGUGUUUCAGGCAGGCUAGCGCCGGAAUACAUUAGCAUGGAAUAAUGGAAUAGGACUUUUGCCUCUUCUGUUGGUCAUGAGGCUCGAGUAAUGAUUAAUAGGGAUAGUUGGGGGCAUUAGUACUUAACUGUCAGAGGUGAAAUUCUCGGAUUUGUUAAAGACUAACUUGUGCGAAAGCAUUUGCCAAGGAUGUUUUCAUUAA